This 80-nucleotide microRNA precursor is filed under the name Ovis aries (sheep). RNAcentral's name for it is "miRNA (ENSOARG00000021257.1)". Lineage: Eukaryota; Metazoa; Chordata; Mammalia; Artiodactyla; Bovidae. The record is from RNAcentral.
UUGGGUUGGCCAAAAAGUUUGUUUGGGUUUUUCUAUAACCGUUUAUGAAAAAUCCAAAUGGACGUUUUGGCUAACUCAAU